Molecule: long non-coding RNA, 187 nt
Organism: Alosa sapidissima (American shad)
Lineage: Eukaryota; Metazoa; Chordata; Actinopteri; Clupeiformes; Clupeidae
Exons: 3
Source: RefSeq, a predicted model, not a curated record
GAAGCACACAAAACAGACAGAAAGAUGAGGACCUUAAUUGUGUUGGUGUGGAUGGCUCACGUGUGUUCUUGUAUCUCAGUGCCUGAGACUGACUCAGGACUGGCUCCCAAACCCGGGCCCAGGCCACAACCAACUCCCGCGCAGCCCUUCACAUUCUCUCAGACUCCAGGACAGACCAUCAUCAAGC